AAAAAAAAUAAUAACCCAAAAUCUUAUCCCUUUUUUUCUCCCACACUUACUCACCACUUAUACCUAAUUAACCCAAAACCCCUUACUUUUCAUUCAUGAAUCAUUCCAUCCUCCUUCUUUGUUAACCCAAAUACACUUCCUCCCUCAUCGACCCCCCCACCCAGAAAUGCAAAUUCAUUUCAUCUUGAGCUUUUCGGUGAAAUUUCGGUUCUUGAGCUUCCCGUGAAUCUCCCUCUUCCAGGUAACAAAUUUAAUCAAUUAACCUUUCAAUCUCCUUUGAUUUUUGUCGAUUCAAUGAUUUUCCUUUACCAUUUUCUUAUUUAUUUCUUGUUUGUGAAUCUGAAAAUUCUGGUUGAGAAGCCAUUUUUAGUGAUCUACUAUGUUUCGUUGAUCUACAAUUAUUUUCAGUAAAAAAAAAAGGCUUAAUUACUCUUUUGGUCCCUUAACUUAUUUUUUGGUUUCGUUUUGGUUCCUUAACUAUUAAAAGUUUCGUUUCGGUCCCAUAACUUAUUUUUGGGUUUUCUUUUGGUCCCUUAACUAUUAAAAGUUUUGUUUUGGUCCCUUAACUUAUUUUUUAGUUUCGUUUUGGUCCCUUAACUUAUUUUUUGGUUUCAUUUUGGUCCCUUAACUCUAAUACAUUCAUCCUAACAUAAAGGACCAAAGUGGUUGACGGAGGAAGAGUUAAGGGACCAAAAUGAAACCAAAAAGUAAGUUAAAUGACCAAAACGAAACUUUUGAUAGUUAAGGGACCAAAACGAAACCGAAAUAAUGGAUAAAUGGAUAGUUAAAUGACCAACACUGUUUUUAAUCUUUUUAUGAUAAAGAUGGUUGUUUCAGUGUUUUAAAUAAUGGAUAAAUGAGUAUGCAAUUUCACUUUUUAUUGUUUUUAUUUUGAUUUGAAUUGAAAUUUGGAGCAUCAUGAAAUAACCCGUGGGAGUUAGAAAGAUUUGAUUUUGAAUUGUUUUUAAUAAAGGUGGAUUGAAUGCUUUAAUGGAGCCAGAGCUUGAUCUGGAUUUGUGAAAUCAGUAUCUUUAUAAAGUAAGAUUUGUGGUGGAAUCUGAAUGUUCUGUGUUUGUUAGAUUUGUAUAAAUAAUACUAUAGAAUGAUUUGGAAUGGAACUUUUAUAUAACUAUUUUUGUAAAUAAUACUCUAGAUUGAUUGCGGUUGAGUUUGAAUGUUAGGUGUUUGUUAAAUUGGUCUGGUUUAUGUUACAAUGUUACAUGUUAAGAGAGUUUUGAAGUCUAAGAAAUUUUUUAUGUGCCUUACCUUGGCUGCAUCUCAUGUACAAUUAUCCAGUAGCUUCUUGUGUGGAAAAUGUAAUUGAAGAAACUAGCUUCUUGUGAUGGUGUUCUAUUUUCAGUCAUUGAUUCUUUAGUAAACAUUUGGUUUUCAUACUGCUAUUGUUGGAUGUGACUGUCUGCUAUUGUUCUGUCUAAGAUGAAAAAAAGGAAUUCUGACCCGCAGUCAACUUUACUGGUUCAGUAAUUCACAAUUUUGACAAUUAGGAUGUCUGAACUGGGUUUCGAGACCAACAUGAGACUUGUAGAUCUUCAUCUCAGCUUUCCGACGAGUAUUCGUAUGCUUCAUUCCAAUUAUCGCAGCCCAGGUUAUGGUCUGAAAAGCAAGCAAGGGUAAAUAUGCUAAUAAUUCAUAAAAUUAAUCAAAGAAACACAUUAGAGCUCAAACUUGACCCGAAGUUUAGAAACAAGCUAAGAAGCUAAAAUUAGAAGAAAAGUCCAAUUUACUGGUAUGUUGUCUUCUGCUAAAGCUCAUGAUAUCUCUAAAUGUCUUCUUGUUUCCAUGUCUU
Molecule: long non-coding RNA, 1807 nt
Filed under: Medicago truncatula (barrel medic)
Lineage: Eukaryota; Viridiplantae; Streptophyta; Magnoliopsida; Fabales; Fabaceae
Description: long non-coding RNA (MTRU_LNC007590)
Rfam family: MIR2655 microRNA precursor family (bases 531-749)
Source: RNAcentral